GGAUGCUCCCGCUUUGACAGCCCACAGACUGCAAUCGGAAGGAUACUGAGAAGAUCGGCAUGGCCCCAGGGCAAGGAUGCCAUGGAAAUCUGUGAAGGCUCCUAUGGCUUU
Molecule: small nuclear RNA, 111 nt
Organism: Arvicola amphibius (Eurasian water vole)
Lineage: Eukaryota; Metazoa; Chordata; Mammalia; Rodentia; Cricetidae
Source: RefSeq, a predicted model, not a curated record